This is a long non-coding RNA of Mastomys coucha (southern multimammate mouse), 624 nucleotides long. RefSeq lists it as uncharacterized. NCBI's taxonomy places the organism in Eukaryota, Metazoa, Chordata, Mammalia, Rodentia, Muridae. The record is from RefSeq and is a predicted model, not a curated record. The transcript has 6 exons.
UUGCUGCUGACCAUUAUUGGGAGUUGGACUACAGACUCCAGGAGUGCUUCGGAGCCAGACAACUGAUGCGGAUUUCUCUGGAAAGCAGCUUCCUGCUUCAGUUGGCAGACCUCCUCGGGGAAAUUCAGGCAUCUAUAUUUAAUCUACUCUAAGAUUCAAGGCCAGAGUCCAUGAGAAGACCUGACUGCAAAACCUGACUCAAGGACCCUGAAACCAGUAAUUCAAAUGGAGAAAGCCACUGCUCUACCACAGAGUUCAGCAUGCAUCUUGCUGGGGAGUCAGGGUUUUGGCAGAAGCCAGAGGAGCUGAAGGCCAACUGCUGCCCCAGGACACAGGACACAAGGAAAGCUGCAAGAAGUGUCCAGCUGCAACUCAGUCCCUACAUCUGUACCUUCUCAUAGGGCCAUCACUCAAGAACAGUGCAAGGGAGGAAGCGGCUCCGAUAGAAGAGGUUGGGUUGCUCUUCUCCUGGUUUCUAAAUACUAGGCCAGAAAAGGUUUCUAGUGCAGUGGAAGACCCAGCGUGUCAAACAACUUGAUCCUUUGCUUUGUUCAUGAUCUAAAAUCUGAAAGAUUCUAAAUUCCUACAGUUUAAUAAAUGGUCUCCCCAUGUGCCUCCCAGUCA